GGCCCGGUGGCUCAGUUGGUUAGAGCGCUGCCCUGUCACGGCAGAGGUCAGGGGUUCAAGUCCCCUUCGGGUCG
This 74-nucleotide transfer RNA is filed under the name Lachnospiraceae bacterium. RNAcentral's name for it is "tRNA-Asp". It matches the Rfam family "tRNA". Rfam says of the family: Transfer RNA (tRNA) molecules are approximately 80 nucleotides in length. Their secondary structure includes four short double-helical elements and three loops (D, anti-codon, and T loops). Lineage: Bacteria; Bacillati; Bacillota; Clostridia; Lachnospirales; Lachnospiraceae. RNAcentral also lists the same sequence under 1 other name. The record is from RNAcentral.